CCUACGGGAGGCAGCAGUGGGGGAUAUUGCACAAUGGGGGAAACCCUGAUGCAGCGACGCCGCGUGUAGGAAGACGGUCCUCUGGAUUGUAACCUACUGUCCCCAGGGACGAAGAUGACGGUACCUGGGGAGGAAGCUCCGGCUAACUACGUGCCAGCAGCCGCGGUAAUACGUAGGGAGCGAGCGUUGUCCGGAAUUACUGGGUGUAAAGGGAGCGUAGGCGGGGAUGCAAGUUGGGUGUUAAAUCUACCGGCUCAACUGGUAGUCGCACUCAAAACUGCAGCUCUUGAGUACUGGAGAGGCAGACGGAAUUCCUAGUGUAGCGGUGAAAUGCGUAGAUAUUAGGAGGAACACCAGUGGCGAAGGCGGUCUGCUGGACAGCAACUGACGCUGAGGCGCGAAAGCGUGGGGAGCAAACAGGAUUAGAUACCCGUGUAGUC
RNAcentral lists this ribosomal RNA (440 nucleotides) under uncultured bacterium. Its description in RNAcentral is "partial 16S ribosomal RNA". It matches the Rfam family "Bacterial small subunit ribosomal RNA", at positions 338 to 795 of the family's 1533-position model. The record is from RNAcentral.